Molecule: ribosomal RNA, 510 nt
Filed under: Butyrivibrio fibrisolvens
Lineage: Bacteria; Bacillati; Bacillota; Clostridia; Lachnospirales; Lachnospiraceae
Description: bacterial SSU rRNA
Rfam family: Bacterial small subunit ribosomal RNA
Source: RNAcentral
AUCUGAGACAGGUGGUGCAUGGUUGUCGUCAGCUCGUGUCGUGAGAUGUUGGGUCAAGUCCCGCAACGAGCGCAACCCUUGUCCAUAGUAGCCAGCAGUAAGAUGGGCACUCUAUGGAGACUGCCAGGGAUAACCUGGAGGAAGGUGGGGAUGACGUCAAAUCAUCAUGCCCCUUAUGAUCUGGGCCACACACGUGCUACAAUGUCGUAACAAAGGGAAGCAACCCUGCGAAGGUGAGCAAAUCCCAAAAAUAACGACCCAGUUCGGACUGUAGGCUGCAACCCGCCUGCACGAAGCUGGAAUCGCUAGUAAUCGCAGAUCAGAAUGCUGCGGUGAAUACGUUCCCGGGUCUUGUACACACCGCCCGUCACACCAUGGGAGUCGGAAAUGCCCAAAGUCAGUGGCCUAACCGUAAGGAGGGAGCUGCCUAAGGCAGGUCGGAUAACUGGGGUGAAGUCGUAACAAGGUAGCCGUAGGAGAACCUGCGGCUGGAUCACCUCCUUUCUAAGG